This 856-nucleotide unclassified non-coding RNA is filed under the name Hevea brasiliensis (rubber tree). The record is from RNAcentral. Lineage: Eukaryota; Viridiplantae; Streptophyta; Magnoliopsida; Malpighiales; Euphorbiaceae.
CACUGCUAUUAUAAUUUUCAAAAACAAACCAUAUUUACAUUCAGAACAAAUGGCAACUCCUAUAACCUACCGACAAAGCACACUAUUUUAUGCUAACACUAACAAAAAUACGUGAUAACAUCCCCACAGGCUUAAUAUUACAUCACCAGAUAAUUUUUACCACAUUGGCCAAGAAAAUACUAUUCAAUUCCAUUGUUUGACCUGAUUAUCUGAAGCUCCAAAAGAGCGUGCUUUUUAUGAAGCUCCAUACCAGUAGUCAAGUGUAAUCAGUACCAAACAGGGUGUGUUCCUUUGGCUCUGAGCAGUUUAGUAUAGGGUGAAUCUGGCAUUCUAGCUUUCUCCUCUUCCUCGAGCUCUUCUCUCGACUUUGGCAAUCCAUCUGGUAUAGGACACGGUCCUCCUGCCCGUUGUGCAUCAAGAUUGACAGGUUUGGCUGAUUCUUUGCUUUCCUUUUUGGCUUUGUGCAUGUCUGAAACUCCAUGUAAGCAGCCAAUGAGAGUUUUCACUCCCCCUGCUUGAAGUAUUAGCCUCUCUACCUCCUCCUUAGGUGCUUCUUUUUCAAGAUCUUUGAGUUCAAAAUAGGCUUGCCAGCAGCUAUAAGAAUCAUCACCUUCUAGAACAGAACAAUAAUCGGCAAGUUCAUUUUCAGAUUUUUCGAUCAAAGGGGGAUCUUUAAAAACUCUAUCAAACUUGGUUCUGCUAAAAGGCUCGAGCUUUGGUAUGUAAGCAUGACUUCUUGAACAACAACGAAUUGUCGACGAAUUUACUUGAAAUCUUGAAGAAUGAAGCUCAUUAUUAACUCCAACGAGAGAAGUAGAAGAUAAGGAAUUGAGAGCCAUUGAUUGUAACAUCAUCG